This is a long non-coding RNA of Oreochromis aureus, 835 nucleotides long. Lineage: Eukaryota; Metazoa; Chordata; Actinopteri; Cichliformes; Cichlidae. The record is from Ensembl.
UCAAAUCGGUUUCUGAAAAAUGUUCUUUUUUUCCUCCCUCUGCUUGCUUCUUACUGUCUUUGAGGCCGAUCGGGACCAGCACUCCUGUCUUUGGACAGAAAGACAUCAACUCAGUGAUAAGUAUUUUGGUUUUCCAAUAUAUUAGCAAUUGUCAGUGACAUUUAUAUUAAUCAGGCUGAACUUUAAUCAUACUUUAGAUCCGCCUGUUUUACUUAUUUUUUUAUUUGUGCUUUGGUUUGGGGAAGUUGUUUCUUCACUGAUCUUUUCCUGUCUUCUGUUAUUAGACUUGGGAUGUGACUGCACUAUGCUGUUGCUAGUGACUCCAGUUAAUUCUACAAGACAUGCUGUGACAACAGGAGAGAUGAGUCCUCCAUCACAGAUGGUGUGGUCAGUGAAGAUGGUCGCCUGCAGGUUCAAGCUCAUUGCAUCGCCAACCCACAUCCACUGUACUUAAGGGAAGUUAAAGACUUUCUUCUGCACCUACAUUUGGAUCACCUCGAUCCAUGACAGUCAUUCAGGCAGUAAUGCCUGGACUGGAAACAAGCAUCCUUAAAAUAAUACAACAUUCCAGCUCAUGUGUUGGAAUGAAAAACAAAUGUGUUGUUUAAAUCAGAGACUGCACUUGUGACAGAACGAUAAAUAUUUUAUUUUGAUUAUAUAAGUAAGUACAAAACAAACUUGUGGUAGGCCUAAACUUAUUUUCAGAAUAAUUACAUCUGAGACUUUGUUUCAUUGUAACAUAACAGUGAUGGCAAUAUAACUGUUUGUUGUUCAAGAGAACAGUGUCCAGUAUGUUGGCUGUUAUACUUUGUUGUGUUUGAAAAUAAAAGUUGGG